GGCUCAGAACGAACGCUGGCGGCAGGCCUAACACAUGCAAGUCGAGCGCGCCCUUCGGGGUGAGCGGCGGACGGGUUAGUAACGCGUUGGGAACGUACCCUUUGGUAGGGAAUAGCCACUGGAAACGGUGAGUAAUACCCUAUGAGCCCUUCGGGGGAAAGAUUUAUCGCCAAAGGAUCGGCCCGCGUUAGAUUAGGUAGUUGGUGGGGUAAUGGCCUACCAAGCCUACGAUCUAUAGCUGGUUUUAGAGGAUGAUCAGCAACACUGGGACUGAGACACGGCCCAGACUCCUACGGGAGGCAGCAGUGGGGAAUCUUGGACAAUGGGGGCAACCCUGAAUCCAGCCAUGCCGCGUGAGUGAAGAAGGCCUUAGGGUCGUAAAGCUCUUUCGCCUGUGAAGAUAAUGACGGUAGCAGGUAAAGAACCCCGGCUAACUCCGUGCCAGCCGCCGC
This 452-nucleotide ribosomal RNA is filed under the name uncultured bacterium. Its description in RNAcentral is "bacterial SSU rRNA". It matches the Rfam family "Bacterial small subunit ribosomal RNA", at positions 21 to 518 of the family's 1533-position model. The record is from RNAcentral.